RNAcentral lists this ribosomal RNA (762 nucleotides) under uncultured bacterium. RNAcentral's name for it is "bacterial SSU rRNA". It matches the Rfam family "Bacterial small subunit ribosomal RNA", at positions 28 to 776 of the family's 1533-position model. The record is from RNAcentral.
AUUGAACGCUGGCGGCAGGCUUAACACAUGCAAGUCGAACGGUAACAGGAAGAAAGCUUGCUUUCUUUGCUGACGAGUGGCGGACGGGUGAGUAAUGCUUGGGAAUCUGUUUUAUGGAGGGGGAUAACUACGGGAAACUGUAGCUAAUACCGCGUAAUAUCGAGAGAUUAAAUGUGUGGGACCGUAAGGCCACAUGCCAUGAAGUGAGCCCAAGUGGGAUUAGAUAGUUGGUGAGGUAAUGGCUCACCAAGUCGGCGAUCUCUAGCUGGUCUGAGAGGAUGACCAGCCACACUGGGACUGAGACACGGCCCAGACUCCUACGGGAGGCAGCAGUGGGGAAUAUUGCACAAUGGGCGCAAGCCUGAUGCAGCCAUGCCGCGUGAAUGAAGAAGGCCUUCGGGUUGUAAAGUUCUUUCGGUGGUGAGGAAGGUUGACGUGUUAAUAGCACGUUGAUUUGACGUUAGCCACAGAAGAAGCACCGGCUAACUCCGUGCCAGCAGCCGCGGUAAUACGGAGGGUGCGAGCGUUAAUCGGAAUAACUGGGCGUAAAGGGCACGCAGGCGGUGACUUAAGUGAGGUGUGAAAGCCCUGGGCUUAACCUAGGAAUUGCAUUUCAUACUGGGUCGCUAGAGUAUUUUAGGGAGGGGUAGAAUUCCACGUGUAGCGGUGAAAUGCGUAGAGAUGUGGAGGAAUACCGAAGGCGAAGGCAGCCCCUUGGGAAUAUACUGACGCUCAUGUGCGAAAGCGUGGGGAGCAAACAGG